AAUAAAAAUAUCUUUGGUUGGGGCAACCACGAAGAAAAAAUAACCUUCGACUCUAAUAAAAAUUAACAAAUUUAACAUUUUAAAAAAUUUGAUCCGGAACUUCCGAACAAAGAAAAAAGUUACCGCAGGGAUAACAGCGUUAUUCUCUUUAAGAGUCCAUAUUGACAAGAGAGUUUGCGACCUCGAUGUUGGACCGGGGCAUCCAAGAGAUGCAGAAGUCUCUAAAGGUAGGUCUGUUCGACCUUUAAAGCCCUACGCGAUCUGAGUUCAGACCGACGCAAGUCAGGUCAGUUUCUAUCUA
RNAcentral lists this ribosomal RNA (301 nucleotides) under Comatula pectinata. Its description in RNAcentral is "partial 16S ribosomal RNA". It matches the Rfam family "Bacterial large subunit ribosomal RNA", at positions 2257 to 2643 of the family's 2925-position model. The record is from RNAcentral. Lineage: Eukaryota; Metazoa; Echinodermata; Crinoidea; Comatulida; Comatulidae.